This 468-nucleotide ribosomal RNA is filed under the name uncultured bacterium. Its description in RNAcentral is "partial 16S ribosomal RNA". It matches the Rfam family "Bacterial small subunit ribosomal RNA", at positions 28 to 507 of the family's 1533-position model. The record is from RNAcentral.
GACGAACGCUGGCGGCGUGCUUAACGCAUGCAAGUCGAACGGAAAGGCCCUGCUUUUGUGGGGUGCUCGAGUGGCGAACGGGUGAGUAACACGUGAGUAACCUGCCCUUGACUUUGGGAUAACUUCAGGAAACUGGGGCUAAUACCGGAUAGGAGCUCCUGCUGCAUGGUGGGGGUUGGAAAGUUUCGGCGGUUGGGGAUGGACUCGCGGCUUAUCAGCUUGUUGGUGGGGUAGUGGCUUACCAAGGCUUUGACGGGUAGCCGGCCUGGGAGGGUGACCGGCCACAUUGGGACUGAGAUACGGCCCAGACUCCUACGGGAGGCAGCAGUGGAGAAUAUUGCACAAUGGGCGGAAGCCUGAUGCAGCAACGCCGCGUGCGGGAUAACGGCCUUCGGGUUGUAAACCGCUUUCGCCUGUGACGAAGCGUGAGUGACGGUAAUGGGUAAAGAAGCACCGGCUAACUACGUG